This is a non-coding RNA of Erythranthe guttata (spotted monkey flower), 549 nucleotides long. The record is from RefSeq and is a predicted model, not a curated record. Lineage: Eukaryota; Viridiplantae; Streptophyta; Magnoliopsida; Lamiales; Phrymaceae.
UGGGCUUGUGUUCAGGUGCCCUACUUUCCUAGGUUUUGACGUCACUCAACCUCUAUAUAUAUAAAUGACCGAGAAAAUCUCUUCUAUACCCUAAAACGCCGUUUUCUGUGUCUGAAAUUCCGACACAAAAAUAAUGGUUUACAGAGCUUCGCCUGAAGAUCUCCGCCAGCGCCUAAGGCCGCCUCCUGAACCUCCGCCGCCGAGAUGUAGAAGAGGCAUAUCGAACAAUAUUCUUGUCAGCGGGACCUAAACGGCAGUACAGUGUGGAUGGUCGUGGCAUGUGUGGGUGUCGAUGAUAUCUAGCAAUCAUCAAAUUAUUGUGAGUCGAGAUUUGAAUUUAUUAUUGUCAACCAUUAAUCGUCAUUACCUUUAGUUGUUACUGAGUCUACAAGUAUUAAUCAUUGUAGUAAAAAAUGCCAAAUGAGUGCAAGAUAUUUUGGAAAAAUAUACCAACAUGAAUAAUGUAUUUGUAUAUCUAUCUCAUUUAUGUGUAUUUUGCCGUGAUAUUUUAAAUGACAAUCUUGUAUUUGAGUUUAUUGGGAAUACAUA